Molecule: transfer RNA, 69 nt
Filed under: Ictidomys tridecemlineatus (thirteen-lined ground squirrel)
Lineage: Eukaryota; Metazoa; Chordata; Mammalia; Rodentia; Sciuridae
Description: Spermophilus tridecemlineatus (thirteen-lined ground squirrel) tRNA
Rfam family: tRNA
About the family: Transfer RNA (tRNA) molecules are approximately 80 nucleotides in length. Their secondary structure includes four short double-helical elements and three loops (D, anti-codon, and T loops). Further hydrogen bonds mediate the characteristic L-shaped molecular structure. tRNAs have two regions of fundamental functional importance: the anti-codon, which is responsible for specific mRNA codon recognition, and the 3' end, to which the tRNAs corresponding amino acid is attached (by aminoacyl-tRNA synthetases). tRNAs cope with the degeneracy of the genetic code in two manners: having more than one tRNA (with a specific anti-codon) for a particular amino acid; and 'wobble' base-pairing, i.e. permitting non-standard base-pairing at the 3rd anti-codon position.
Source: Rfam by way of RNAcentral
GGAGUUGUGGCUCAGUGGUAGAGCGCUUGCCUAGCAUGCAUGAGGUUCUGGGUUCCAUCCACAGCACCA